CACACCAUGUCGGCUUCACUACUGUGGCUUUAUGGGAAGUCUUUAAAUCAAUUAUUCACUCUCAGUUGUCUGCAUUUUAAAUAUGUUGUUCCAAUGUCAUCUGUUCUUAAUGGUUUCUGAUGUCACAUCCACCAUCAUUUGAAUCAUUGUUCCACCACAGAAUACCACAGACUGGGUGAUUUAUAAAGAAAAUGAAUUAUUUCUCACAGUUCUUGAGGUUGGGAAGUCCAGGAGCAUGACAUGGAAGCAGUUCUGUCUCUCUUGCUACCUUGUGAAGAAGAAUUCAACCGCUUCGCCUUCCACCGUGAUUACGUUUCCUGAAGCAUUCCUAGCCACGUGGAACUGUGAGUCAAUUAAAUCCUUUUCCUUUAUAAAUUACCCAAUUUCAAGUAUUUCUUCAUAGAAGCUUGAGAAGGAACUAUUAGCCUGGUGCAAAGGUAAUUGUAGUUUGUGCCAUUGUUUUUAAAGUAAGGGUCAAACCUGCAAUUACUUCCACACCAACCUAAUAAUACAUAUACUAUCCAGACUUCUUGGUUUUCAAAAGUUUCUCUGUUGUAAACACUCCAAUGAUAGUAUAAUCGCAUUGCUAUUUUUCUUUUAGAAGUUUAUUUGCCAAAAUCCAUAACAUAGAAGAAGAUAGAAAUAAUUGGUGCUUAAUUGGUUUACAGUUAUAUCAGAGGCAAUCAUAGUAUGAGUGAAGACCUCAUAAGGAUAGAAUCAUAUCAGUAAUGUUUAUAUCUUCUGUGAAUUAUUAUGAAGCUUUAGUGUCUCUAUUUCUCUACUGAAAUGUAUGUACAGUACCUAGUGUUUCCUCCUAAGUACUUGGGCUUCUCCGACCUGCAGCAUAUAGGCCACAAGCAGCCCAGCGCAGCUUUGAAUGUGGCCCAACACAAAUUUAUAAAUUUUCUUAAAACAUUAUGAGAUUAAAAAAAAAUUUUCUUAGCUCAUCAGCUAUUGUUAGUGUUAGCACAUUUCAUGUGUGGCCAAAGACAAUUCUUCUUCCAGUGUGACCCAGGGAAGCCAAAAGAUUAGAUACUCCAGACUUCAGUGAUUGAAUAUAAAGGACUAUUAAAAAGGUUCUUCAUUUAGCACUCUAGACAGGAGGACAAUUUAUUGCUAAAAUUUUCAGUUUACCGAUUUUAUUUUAUAGCUGCUUUGUCAAAGUUUACAUAUUUUUAAGAUUUUACAAAGCAAUUGUAUGUUAAAUAAAAUUCAGAAAGCAAAUAGAAUAUUAAUAUCUCACAUUAUAUAAUAUAUAAUUUAUACACAGGUAUAUAUACACACAAAAUAUACAUAUAUACAUAUAAAAUAUAUACAUAUAUGUAUACAUUUUUAUAUAUACAUAUGUAUCCAUAUACAAAUAUAUAUACACAAUAAAAUGUACAUAUACA
Molecule: long non-coding RNA, 1391 nt
Filed under: Callithrix jacchus (white-tufted-ear marmoset)
Lineage: Eukaryota; Metazoa; Chordata; Mammalia; Primates; Cebidae
Description: lncRNA (ENSCJAG00000087082.1)
Source: RNAcentral